CCCGCUCUGAGCCAGCCCCACCCUUUUCUCCCGAAAGCCCUUUUCCUCCAACCCCCUCCUCCUGCUCCAUUCAGCCCAAGUUCAAGUGCAAACCACCAGGAAAACCCAAAGAACGUUCAUGGGAUAAAUCACCCGAUUACUAAUCAGGUCCACCCGUCCCACCGUUAACCGCUAUUUUCCCUGCGAAAAGUAAAUACGCCUCCUCCCCACCGCCUGACAGCGAAGCCAUUAAACCCAGGAAGGGCGUGUCUCCACAGCAGCCCAGAAACAACUUGAAAGUGGAAAAAUACGGUGGAUUCGGUGAUUCAGUGGUCGUUAAGAUAGCCAAAAUGUUUGGUUUCAGCUUUGACGGAACCCAUUCCUCUCCCCUAUUUUGUCUCUUCCCAGAUCAGAGGAAGCAGAGCCUCAGAAGACACUUGAGCAGUUCUGACGCCUUUGCGCUCCCAGCUAAGGCUGAUCCUGUGAGCCAGUUCUUGUCGAAGAAAUGCCUGCUAAAGCCUCUGGGGCAGGUCUUCCCCCCCCCCCCGAUACAUGGGAAGCUCCCUACUUUCUGCUUUGACCAUGAUAUGUGAAGACUGACACUCUCAGCUAUGGCAGCCUUUUAAGACUAUGAGGUGACAAGGCUGGACUCCUAAAAGGAAUACAUGGCGGGGAGCAGAAUACAGAAGGAGAGUCCUUGAUGUGAACUCUGAUCACUGAACCAGCCUAUGCCCAACUGCCUGCCUGCAGAUUUACAGCAUAAGAUGUUUUUAUUGCUUUCGCUACUGUUAGAUGAGCGUCCUAUUACUUGCAGCCAAGUACAUCCUGAUUAAUGCAACAGGUGUACACACAGCAUAAGACAGUUCGGUCCUGGGGUCCCACAAGGGGUCAUGAAAAGAAAGCACGCUUUGCAGUAAAGUGGCUCUGGCUUUCAUCUUGGGCUCCCGGUGAUGACAGGGGAGACUAGACGUGGAAGUGCUGGACACACUUCCUGUCGGGCUGCCUGCCUGUCUCCUGCACUGCGCUUUCCCCAGCAUCCAGAGGCAUGCCUAGCUCAUGGUGGGCAUCCGGGAAAGUUUUGUGGAACAAAGGGAUAAAUUCCUUUCCUUCCCUCUUGUAAAAUGAGGUUUCGGUGGUGCGUCGGCUUUGCUAAGGCUGCCACAAUAAACUACGACAGGCUGGGUGGCUUAAACA
Molecule: long non-coding RNA, 1173 nt
Filed under: Felis catus (domestic cat)
Lineage: Eukaryota; Metazoa; Chordata; Mammalia; Carnivora; Felidae
Description: lncRNA (ENSFCAG00000049429.1)
Source: RNAcentral